This is a regulatory RNA element of 79 nucleotides. It matches the Rfam family "c-di-GMP-I-GGC riboswitch aptamer". The record is from Rfam.
UCCGACAAAGCCAAACCCUUCGCGAGGAGGGGGCGGAAAGCGGCGGGUCUUCGCGACGAAGAUGGCCGAGCUGCCGAGG